This 459-nucleotide ribosomal RNA is filed under the name uncultured Thiobacillus sp. RNAcentral's name for it is "bacterial SSU rRNA". It matches the Rfam family "Bacterial small subunit ribosomal RNA", at positions 919 to 1382 of the family's 1533-position model. The record is from RNAcentral. Lineage: Bacteria; Pseudomonadati; Pseudomonadota; Betaproteobacteria; Nitrosomonadales; Thiobacillaceae.
ACCCGCACAAGCGGUGGAUGAAGUGGAUUAAUUCGAUGCAACGCGAAGAACCUUACCUACCCUUGACAUGUCCGGAACUUGCCAGAGAUGGCUUGGUGCCCGAAAGGGAAUCGGAACACAGGUGCUGCAUGGCUGUCGUCAGCUCGUGUCGUGAGAUGUUGGGUUAAGUCCCGCAACGAGCGCAACCCUUAUCAUUAGUUGCUACGCAAGGGCACUCUAAUGAGACUGCCGGUGACAAACCGGAGGAAGGUGGGGAUGACGUCAAGUCCUCAUGGCCCUUAUGGGUAGGGCUUCACACGUCAUACAAUGGUCGGUACAGAGGGUUGCCAAGCCGCGAGGCGGAGCCAAUCCCACAAAGCCGAUCGUAGUCCGGAUUGUUCUCUGCAACUCGAGAGCAUGAAGUCGGAAUCGCUAGUAAUCGCAGGUCAGCAUACUGCGGUGAAUACGUUCCCGGGUCUU